UUUUUUUUUUAAAGGAAAACCAGUAUAUAUACAUAUAUAUAUAUAACAAUACAUCAUGAAAUUAGUUAAUCGUCUUGUUUCUUCUCAUUACACUGGCAUAUCGAUAUCUCAAAACUGAAUUGGAGGGUUAAAAAAAGUUUAAUGGUCCACCUGAGAUAGCCAGUGGAGACUAUAAGACGAAUGGACAAAAUGCAGGCUAUUGGAAGGGAAAAGCCUGCCAUAAAAAGAACCAGGGACUCCAGUGAAAAAGAAGCCCAGUUCCAGCUUCCAAUUGUUUUUUCAUUCUUUCUUGGAACCCUGGCAAGGACCUGAAAAUGGUGUUGAAAUCAUUCCCCGGAAGGUCAUUCAAGAACACCUGAUAUUCUGGGGAUUGACGACCCAGCCUUCCACAAAGCUUGUCCACUACUUUGAUGAGUUCAGACACUGCAGAUAGAGUGUUUGGUCCUGAAGAACAUCCCAGGUCUGCGAUGGCUAGACUCUUUGGGUAGGUGCUAGAGUAGAGAUCGGAGAUGGCUUCCUCUGUGAUAGGCUUUGUCAUGGAUAUCACUUUUUGCUGAAGCAAUGAGUUUUUAGCAUAGCUGG
This 582-nucleotide unclassified non-coding RNA is filed under the name Hevea brasiliensis (rubber tree). Lineage: Eukaryota; Viridiplantae; Streptophyta; Magnoliopsida; Malpighiales; Euphorbiaceae. The record is from RNAcentral.